RNAcentral lists this long non-coding RNA (393 nucleotides) under Phoenix dactylifera (date palm). RNAcentral's name for it is "long non-coding RNA (PDAC_LNC005714)". The record is from RNAcentral. Lineage: Eukaryota; Viridiplantae; Streptophyta; Magnoliopsida; Arecales; Arecaceae.
CUCUCCUCCUCUGACACCCCCAUCGAUGGGCUUGGUAGAUCGAGAGGGCUCCUACUCCCAGUCUACACGGUUCAUCUAUCUUUGAAGAACUGCUCCAACACCUUAUGAAUCAUAUCAGGAUCCUCCGACAACUGACCAUCCUCCCCCUGAUAACCCUAAUCCUGUUCCGCUGCCUCCUAAUCACUAUCAAUUGGUGAAAGAAUUUGGUGUUCCGAUCUCCCUCUAAGACUUACUGUACCCUCGACUUUUGUCUUCAAAAAAUCUCCUAUUGACGAAGUAAAGAAUCAUGCAUAGAUAGGAGUGAUCUGAGCUCUCCCAUCUCACCCUCCAAUAAGCCUCCCACCACAGUCUCCUGGGACUAUAGUCUGGCAAUGGCCUCCUCAGCCUCCUCAA